RNAcentral lists this ribosomal RNA (253 nucleotides) under uncultured bacterium. RNAcentral describes it as "partial 16S ribosomal RNA". It matches the Rfam family "Bacterial small subunit ribosomal RNA", at positions 524 to 776 of the family's 1533-position model. The record is from RNAcentral.
UACGUAGGACCCGAGCGUUAUCCGGAUUCAUUGGGUGUAAAGGGUGUGUAGGCGGGCGUGGGCGUCCGGGGUGAAAGGUUCCGGCUCAACCUGAAACAUGCCUUGGAUACGGCACGAGUUGGGGGCGGGAGAGGACGGUGGAAUUCCUGGUGUAGCGGUGAAAUGGGUAGAUAUUAGGAGGAACACCAGUGGGGAAGGCGGCCGUCUGGCCCGCAAACGACGCUGAAACACGAAAGCGUGGGGAUCAAACAGG